Molecule: long non-coding RNA, 888 nt
Filed under: Fragaria vesca (wild strawberry)
Lineage: Eukaryota; Viridiplantae; Streptophyta; Magnoliopsida; Rosales; Rosaceae
Description: long non-coding RNA (FVES_LNC001179)
Source: RNAcentral
AAAAUAUAUGAAAAGUCGUCGGCUAAGGUCAAAAAAUUUCAAAAUUUUUUAGGCGGUAAACCAAAGUUGGAGGAAAAUUUUCAAAGGACUUUAGCCGACGAAAAUAUAUGAAAAGUCGUCGGCUAAAGUCGAAAAAUUUUCAAAAUUUUACAACCAAAAUUUUUUUGGCGGUCAACCAAAAUUUUCAAAAGAGUUUAGCCGACGAAAUUCUUUAUUUUCGUCGGCUAAAGUUCUUUAUAUAGGCGAAGAUGGAUGGUAAGAAGUCUAUUAUCUGCCAGAUUUUCUUCUCGGCCUAGCUCCGCCGUCAAGCCACCGGAGACCGUCACACUAGUCCCAAAAGCUUCGCCGUCGUCUCUACUUCAUUGCUGGAUAGGUGGUGCAUCGAGUGGCGCCGCCAUGAGGGAUAAAUUGAGCUCCAAAACUCCGCCGGUUCGGAUUCGGUGUCGAUCAAAUUUCUCCUUCCUUAGGUCACCAUUUGGUGAGUUCUAUAUAUGGAUAAGUUGAGUUUGAUUAGUACUACAUUCCCCUAGAAUUUGGUAGCUCGAUUCGGUGUGUGUGAAGAGAAUCGAAGAUUUGAAGUUUUUAGGGUUUAAAAUUGGGGAUUUUUAUAUUUUGAGUCGAUUGACCUGUUUAGGCUUAGAAUUGAGCUUCGAUUUCUUCUAGAAAGUUGUUCGAAAUGUUGAGACGAAUAUUCUGUCAAAUUUUGGUCGUGAUUGGAGGUGGCCGAAAGUUUCUGUAGUUUUUUUUUCAAAACCCAGCAACUUUAGCCGACGAUAUUUAAACACUAUAUUCGUCGGCUAUAGUAUUUUUUAAUUUUUUUUAUAAGGUUUAGCCGACGAAUUAUGGCAUGUUUCGUCGGUUAUAGUUAUUUUUUUAAUUUUUUAUAAG